Molecule: ribosomal RNA, 255 nt
Filed under: uncultured bacterium
Lineage: Bacteria
Description: partial 16S ribosomal RNA
Rfam family: Bacterial small subunit ribosomal RNA
Source: RNAcentral
UACGUAGGGGGCAAGCGUUGUCCGGAUUUAUUGGGCGUAAAGAGCGUGUAGGCGGCCAAGCAGGUCCGCUGUGAAAACUCGAGGCUCAACCUCGAGACGUCGGUGGAAACCGUUUGGCUAGAGUCCGGAAGAGGAGAGUGGAAUUCCCGGUGUAGCGGUGAAAUGCGCAGAUAUCGGGAAGAACACCCGUGGCGAAGGCGGCUCUCUGGGACGGUACUGACGCGUGAGACGCGAAAGCGUCGGGGAGCGAACAGG